This is an RNA transcript of Sphaeramia orbicularis (orbiculate cardinalfish), 1098 nucleotides long. It is a transcript of the gene named zinc finger, SWIM-type containing 7, with no coding region annotated. Lineage: Eukaryota; Metazoa; Chordata; Actinopteri; Kurtiformes; Apogonidae. The transcript has 6 exons. The record is from RefSeq and is a predicted model, not a curated record.
AAAACAAACAAAAAACGGUCCGUGUACAUUUGAGUGAAUUAGAAACCAAUGAUUUUAGAAAAAAAAACUUCAAACACAAACAUUUACCAGUUCAAAGAUAAACUUGUAUAAAAACGGAUUCAAGUUCAAAAUCACAUGAUUAACCUGUCUUCCGUAUAUUCGUGCUUUAAAGGUUCUAUUUAUCCUUCAUUUUAAUUUUAAUUCAAUAUUUACCCCCGCAUGUAUUUUAUUUUGAAGGAGCCGCAUCAAGCCGGAAGUGGUCACAUUUUACUCCCGCGCCAGUUUUGUGGAUCCGACUAUUUUCUGGGACCAAAGGGUUUGAAAAUGGGCUCGUUUUUACCUGCUGUGGCUGAACAGCUGCUCGCAGACAUCCAGAGGACAUACGAGGACACGGCUCACAUUCCUGACGACCUGCUCAUAGCGUUGACCUUCGUGCUGGGUUCGUGCGUCCUGCCGGCCUUGGACCUGGUGGACCGCCGCAGCGUGUCCCGCCUGUCGUCUCCCAGUGGACGCAGCGUCUUCCAGGUGGUGGGCGGUUCCGGUCGGGUCUACACCUGCCUCACUUCCUGUCACUUCUGUCCGUGUCCAUCCUUCGCCUAUGCCGUCCUUCACAGGGGCGGAGCUCUGAUGUGUAAACACCUCCUGGCUGUGUACCUGUCCCAGGCCAUGGGCGUCACCCAGCAGGACGCCGUCACCGACCAGCACAUGACAGCGCUGCUCAGCAGGGGAACACUCCCAUGAUGCUCAGCGGUGGUGUUGGUCCCAUGAUGCUCAGCUUUGGAGGCGGUCCCGUGAUGCUCAGCUUUGGAGGCGGUCCCAUGAUGCUCAGCGGUGGAGGCGGUCCCAUGAUGCUCGGAGGCGGUCCCAUGAUGCUCAGCGGUGGAGGCGGUCCCAUGAUGCUCAGCGGUGGAGGCGGUCCCAUGAUGCUCAGUGAACUGAAGGUCUGGACCCAAGCCACCUGGACCGGACCCAUCCGGACUGGACCGGAGCCACCCGGAUCGGACCCAUCCGGACCAGAGCCACCCGGACCGGACCCAUCCGGACCAGAGCCACCCGGACCGGAGCCACCCGGACCGGAGCCACCCAGACCAGACCGGA